This 455-nucleotide ribosomal RNA is filed under the name Escherichia coli. RNAcentral's name for it is "bacterial LSU rRNA". It matches the Rfam family "Bacterial large subunit ribosomal RNA", at positions 1342 to 1782 of the family's 2925-position model. The record is from RNAcentral. Lineage: Bacteria; Pseudomonadati; Pseudomonadota; Gammaproteobacteria; Enterobacterales; Enterobacteriaceae.
AGACCAAGGGUUCCUGUCCAACGUUAAUCGGGGCAGGGUGAGUCGACCCCUAAGGCGAGGCCGAAAGGCGUAGUCGAUGGGAAAUAGGUUAAUAUUCCUGUACUUGGUGUUACUGCGAAGGGGGGACGGAGAAGGCUAUGUUGGCCGGGCGACGGUUGUCCCGGUUUAAGCGUGUAGGCUGGUUUUCCAGGCAAAUCCGGAAAAUCAAGGCUGAGGCGUGAUGACGAGGCACUACGGUGCUGAAGCAACAAAUGCCCUGCUUCCAGGAAAAGCCUCUAAGCAUCAGGUAACAUCAAAUCGUACCCCAAACCGACACAGGUGGUCAGGUAGAGAAUACCAAGGCGCUUGAGAGAACUCGGGUGAAGGAACUAGGCAAAAUGGUGCCGUAACUUCGGGAGAAGGCACGCUGAUAUGUAGGUGAAGUCCCUCGCGGAUGGAGCUGAAAUCAGUCGAAG